CAUGCAGUCGAACGAUGAUGCCCAGCUUGCUGGGUGGAUUAGUGGCGAACGGGUGAGUAACACGUGAGUAACCUGCCCCUGACUCUGGGAUAAGCGUUGGAAACGACGUCUAAUACUGGAUAUGAUCGCCGGCCGCAUGGUCUGGUGGUGGAAAGAUUUUUUGGUUGGGGAUGGACUCGCGGCCUAUCAGCUUGUUGGUGAGGUAAUGGCUCACCAAGGCGACGACGGGUAGCCGGCCUGAGAGGGUGACCGGCCACACUGGGACUGAGACACGGCCCAGACUCCUACGGGAGGCAGCAGUGGGGAAUAUUGCACAAUGGGCGAAAGCCUGAUGCAGCAACGCCGCGUGAGGGAUGACGGCCUUCGGGUUGUAAACCUCUUUUAGUAGGGAAGAAGCGAGAGUGACGGUACCUGCAGAAAAAGCACCGGCUAACUACGUGCCAGCAGCCGCGGUAAUACGUAGGGUGCAAGCGUUGUCCGGAAUUAUUGGGCGUAAAGAGCUCGUAGGCGGUUUGUCGCGUCUGCUGUGAAAUCCCGAGGCUCAACCUCGGGCUUGCAGUGGGUACGGGCAGACUAGAGUGCGGUAGGGGAGAUUGGAAUUCCUGGUGUAGCGGUGGAAUGCGCAGAUAUCAGGAGGAACACCGAUGGCGAAGGCAGAUCUCUGGGCCGUAACUGACGCUGAGGAGCGAAAGCAUGGGGAGCGAACAGGAUUAGAUACCCUGGUAGUCCAUGCCGUAAACGUUGGGCGCUAGAUGUAGGGACCUUUCCACGGUUUCUGUGUCGUAGCUAACGCAUUAAGCGCCCCGCCUGGGGAGUACGGCCGCAAGGCUAAAACUCAAAGGAAUUGACGGGGGCCCGCACAAGCGGCGGAGCAUGCGGAUUAAUUCGAUGCAACGCGAAGAACCUUACCAAGGCUUGACAUACACCGGAAACGGCCAGAGAUGGUCGCCCCCUUGUGGUCGGUGUACAGGUGGUGCAUGGUGUCGUCAGCUCGUGUCGUGAGAUGUUGGGUUAAGUCCCGCACGAGCGCACCCUCGUUCUAUGUUGCCAGCGGGUUAUGCCGGGGACUUCAUAGGA
RNAcentral lists this ribosomal RNA (1077 nucleotides) under Curtobacterium flaccumfaciens. RNAcentral describes it as "bacterial SSU rRNA". It matches the Rfam family "Bacterial small subunit ribosomal RNA", at positions 54 to 1146 of the family's 1533-position model. The record is from RNAcentral. Lineage: Bacteria; Bacillati; Actinomycetota; Actinomycetes; Micrococcales; Microbacteriaceae.